This 509-nucleotide ribosomal RNA is filed under the name uncultured bacterium. RNAcentral's name for it is "bacterial SSU rRNA". It matches the Rfam family "Bacterial small subunit ribosomal RNA", at positions 372 to 886 of the family's 1533-position model. The record is from RNAcentral.
UGGGAGAAUUCCUGAAGCAGCAACGCCGCGUGAGGGAUGAAGGGCUUUUGCUUGUAAACCUCUGUAGCGAGAGAAAAAAACUCCAAUCUUUGGAGCAUGAUGGUAUCUCGAAAGUAAGCCCCGGCUAACUACGUGCCAGCAGCCGCGGUAAUACGUAGGGGGCAAACGUUGUCCGGAUUUACUGGGUGUAAAGGGUGCUCAGGCGGUCUUGUAAGUCAGAAGUGAAAUCCUAGAGCUUAACUCUGGAACUGCUUUUGAUACUGCAAGGCUUGAAUAUGGAAGAGGAGGGUGGAAUUUCUGGUGUAGCAGUGAAAUGCGUAGAUAUCAGAAAGAACACCAGUGGCGAAGGCGGCCCUCUGGUCCAUUAUUGACGCUAAAGCACGAAAGCGUGGGGAGCAAACAGGAUUAGAUACCCUGGUAGUCCACGCCUUAAACGAUGAAUACUAGACGUUGGGGUCAAACUCAGUGUCGCAGCUAACGCAUUAAGUAUUCCACCUGGAGAGUACGAU